GCUUGUGUACCAUAGUGGUUUGAGAGUUGGACUACAACUCUAGAAACCAGGGUUAGAUUCCCAGCUUGGCCA
Molecule: non-coding RNA, 72 nt
Organism: Phrynosoma platyrhinos (Desert horned lizard)
Lineage: Eukaryota; Metazoa; Chordata; Lepidosauria; Squamata; Phrynosomatidae
Source: the annotation of a GenBank genome assembly